CAGUCGCCGCGGUAAUACGGAGGGGGCUAGCGUUGUUCGGAAUUACUGGGCGUAAAGCGCACGUAGGCGGCUUGGUAAGUUAGAGGUGAAAGCCCGGAGCUCAACUCCGGAAUUGCCUUUAAGACUGCCGAGCUAGUAGGUGAGAGAGGUAAGUGGAAUUCCGAGUGUAGAGGUGAAAUUCGUAGAUAUUCGGAAGAACACCAGUGGCGAAUGCGGCUUACUGGCUCAUUCUAGACGCUGAGGUGCGAAAGCGUGGGGAGCAAACAGGAUUAGAUACCCCCGUAGUCCCUGUCUCUUAUCA
Molecule: ribosomal RNA, 301 nt
Filed under: uncultured bacterium
Lineage: Bacteria
Description: partial 16S ribosomal RNA
Rfam family: Bacterial small subunit ribosomal RNA
Source: RNAcentral